AUGGGUAGGAAAUGCUUGAUCUAAGUCUAGGUAGUUGAAAGAUAUGAUAUGGGGAGGUUUUGAGAUGCUAUCUGUCUUGCUCCUAGAGAUGCUAGAGUUCUGGAGAAUUUUAUUUUAAAAAUCUUAAAUUGCUACAUGAUGAGUUCCUUUAUGACACGAGUUAAAAUUCCUACCAUAGCCAAAUACUCAUGCUUACUAGAAUAGGAAAACCUUCCACUUAUAUUUCAACAUAUAAGCAUUGAGGGUAGUUAAGCUGUGUAGACCCUAAGGAACUAAUCAUGUAGUUGAAGUCAAUAUUAUGUGCUCUCCAUCCAUUGAUCCUAACUACUUCUAUCCCCAGAAGUAUGCAACCACUUGCUUCCUCCAUAUUCACUAUGUGCUACUUCUGUUCCUCGAAGUACCACCCACAUAUACGCACUACACUCUGUGUUGUUUCUAUCCUAGAGACACACACCUAUGUUGCUCCUACCAUGGGAGUAUGCAUUCAUUCACUCAUUCAUAUUCCACAUCCACUUAGAAAAUGUUCUACUCCUACACUGGGAGAAGACACCCAAAGAUAUUCAUUAUGUCUUUUUCUACUAAAGCACAAGUUAUUUCAGUUGAUACUCUCUACUAUUAUCAGUGCAUUAAAAGGGUUCGCUGAUUUUUUUUAAAAAAAAGAGAAAAGAAAAGAAAUGAAAGAGGAAAAAAGUCCUAAAAGAAAAGAAAGACAGCCAAGUCCUUAUUAGGGAGGUAUGUUAUCCCCAAGGAGCAAAUGUAGGAUUAGAUAUUCACCAUCAAUCAUCACCCCCCAUUUUUUAUCAUUCUUAUCAUUCACUUCAUUCACUACACUCACAAGCACAUAUGAUUUGAUUGUAUAAUUAGUUUCUCUAGAUUCAUGGUUUAACUAUGCAAUACAUGCAAGUAGGUUUGAAUUGUCUUUUCCACCUAUGAGCUCCACAUAAGCCAAUUAGAAGUAGAGUGAGAGAGAGAAGGCAGUUAUGUCUUAGUGAUAUAAAUACCAUAUUCUAAGAGAAGGCAUAUUCACUUGCCUUG
This 1035-nucleotide long non-coding RNA is filed under the name Sorghum bicolor (sorghum). Its description in RNAcentral is "long non-coding RNA (SBIC_LNC010153)". Lineage: Eukaryota; Viridiplantae; Streptophyta; Magnoliopsida; Poales; Poaceae. The record is from RNAcentral.